This 1243-nucleotide long non-coding RNA is filed under the name Homo sapiens (human). Its description in RNAcentral is "HSALNT0243796". Lineage: Eukaryota; Metazoa; Chordata; Mammalia; Primates; Hominidae. The record is from RNAcentral.
CCACGUGAGACGUGCCUUUCACUUUCUGCCAUGAUUGUGAGGCCUCCCCAGCCACGUGGAACUGUGAGUCCAUUAAAUCUCUUUCUUUUGUAAAUCGCCUAGUCUUGGGUGUGUCAGGUAUGUCUUUUAUUUUUAUUUAUUUAUUUUGAGACAGAGUCUCACUCUGUUGCCCGGGCUGGAGUGCAGUGGUGCUAUUUUGCCUCACUGCCGCCCCUGCCUCCCUGGUUCAAGCGAUUCUCCUGCCUUGGCGUCCCAAGUAGCUGGGAUUACAGGCGCUUGCCACCACGCCUGGCUAAUUUUUGCAUUUUUAGUAGAGACAGGGUUUCGCCAUGUUGGCCAGGCUGGUCUCAAACUCCUGACCUCAGGUGAUCUGCCUGCCUCAACCUCCCAAGAUGCUGGCAUAACAGGCGUGAGCCACUGUGACCGGCCUGGGGUAUGUGUUUCUCAGCAGUGUGAAAGUGGAUUAAUACAAGUGCCCUGCCUGUCUUGAGAGACAGUAGAAAGACACUGUCCUGGGAGUCCAAGGCAGGGCCUGUCCCCAUAGGGAGCACAGGGUGAGCAGGACAGAACCAAUCUUCAGGGGGAACUUUCCAGAGCCGUGGAUUGUUGGACUGACCGCUCCCUUGACUGAAGGAAGGUUCGAAGAAGGCCCUCCAGCCCGAGAAUCCAGUCCCAGACUCUGUAGAAGUCUUGGGAGGAGACUGGGAGAUUUCCUCAUGCUGCAAAUUCUGGCCCAAACAAUCCAGUCCCUGAGGAGGGUGUGUUGGUGUACCAGAAACUGAUGGAACAGCACCCGGCACCAUGCCAGACCCUCCUGUGCCAAGAGGUUCCAGGAAAAUGAGCAUAUCCUAGGAUUGGGAGGAAGUAAGGCAGCAACUGGGGACUUUUUCCUAAUGAGUCCAAUAAAUCCUUGGAAAAAUAAUCCACCGAGGGUCAAAUAUACAUAGAAAACAACUUUGAAGGCUUUUGGAGGCUUUUUUCCCUAAAAAGAGAGAAAAGUAAAAAAUAUUCCAGGCAUUGGCUUUCAAAAACAAACAAACAAACAAAGAACAAAACAAAACAAAAAAACCAAAAAACAAACAAAACCAAGAACAACCCUGGGAAUAUAAAAUUCUUCAAGAUAUGCAAGAAACAUAUAAACUUCAGGCCAGGUGCUUUGACAUGCGCUUGUAGUCCCAGCUACUCAAGACGAUUGUUUGAGCCCAGGAGUUUGAGGCUGUAGUGUGCUAUGAUCACACAUAUG